GCGGCCUCUGCUCCCGGGGUCCCAGUCCAACUCCCACCUGACACAGGAGCCUCUCGGGAGCAGCCGCUGGCGCCCAGCCCAGGCUUGAACACUUGUGAGCUAACGUCCCUCGGACAGUCGCUUCCUCCUGGGCCAGCUCCCACUUCAGAACGUUCUCCCUCCGUCGGGCUGGGCUCGGCGCGGCUCAGCCCAGGCUAGGACAGGCCCGGGGCCAGGGCGGCCCCUCGUCAGGACAAGUUUUCCAAAGUCAAAACUGAACGCGCCCAAGAGAACGCGCCCCGUCUCUGCACCCUGCAUCCCAGACACCUCGGAGCCCCGGCUGCCAAGAGAAACUGCCUUUCAGGCCUCCGCGGCCUCUCCUACGCCCGCGGCGCCAGGGCCCGCAAACCCGGCGACUCUGAACCGCCCGCUACGCUCGGGCGCCAUCUUGCGUUCGUUCCUCUCGGCCACCCGGGGACAGUCCGGAAACUACAUUUCCCAGAGUGCCUAGCGCGUUGACGCAGGCGCCAAGAGCCUCCUCUGGUUUCCACGGGAACCUCGCCCCUCAAAGGCCAGGCAGUUGGACUGUGGAGCGCGAAGCUGUCGCUCCCCGUCAGGUGCUCCGGCGUUAGACCAGAUGUGGAAGGUGCAGGACUUCUAGGAGCCACAAAAGCUCCUUUUCCUGGCGAUGCAACCCCAGAAAUGAGAAACUGGAAGAGGGAGGCCAAGUGCCAUGAGGAUGGAAUAAAUGGUUUGAGCAGCAGAUGGAAUUAUUCUGGGUCAGUGGGAUGCCUGAGCUGGUAAGCAGAGAUCCCCACCCCAGUACUGCUGGCUAUCCCAUGUGGUGGGUGAGGCCAGGGAGAACAAGGCCAGAUGCUCUGCCUGCUGCCAGAUCUGCUGCAGGCAGUCCCUGCUGCCCCACCCACCAUCCUGCUGAAACCUCCCCCUCCUCCUCCC
This is a long non-coding RNA of Myotis myotis, 936 nucleotides long. RefSeq lists it as uncharacterized. The transcript is spliced from 3 exons. The record is from RefSeq and is a predicted model, not a curated record. Lineage: Eukaryota; Metazoa; Chordata; Mammalia; Chiroptera; Vespertilionidae.